CAGUCGCCGCGGUAAUACGAAGGGGGCUAGCGUUGUUCGGAAUUACUGGGCGUAAAGCGCACGUAGGCGGAUAUUUAAGUCAGGGGUGAAAUCCCGCAGCUCAACUGCGGAACUGCCUUUGAUACUGGGUAUCUUAAGUAUGGAAGAGGUUAGUGGAAUUGCGAGUGUAGAGGUGAAAUUCGUAGAUAUUCGCAGGAACACCAGUGGCGAAGGCGGCUAACUGGUCCAUAACUGACGCUGAGGUGCGAAAGCGUGGGGAGCAAACAGGAUUAGAUACCCCUGUAGUCCCUGUCUCUUAUAC
RNAcentral lists this ribosomal RNA (301 nucleotides) under uncultured bacterium. RNAcentral's name for it is "partial 16S ribosomal RNA". It matches the Rfam family "Bacterial small subunit ribosomal RNA", at positions 509 to 807 of the family's 1533-position model. The record is from RNAcentral.